This 465-nucleotide ribosomal RNA is filed under the name Vreelandella stevensii. RNAcentral describes it as "partial 16S ribosomal RNA". It matches the Rfam family "Bacterial small subunit ribosomal RNA", at positions 338 to 795 of the family's 1533-position model. The record is from RNAcentral. Lineage: Bacteria; Pseudomonadati; Pseudomonadota; Gammaproteobacteria; Oceanospirillales; Halomonadaceae.
CCUACGGGGUGCAGCAGUGGGGAAUAUUGGACAAUGGGCGAAAGCCUGAUCCAGCCAUGCCGUGUGUGUGAAGAAGGCCUUCGGGUUGUAAAGCACUUUCAGUGGGGAAGAAAGCCUUGGGGCUAAUACCCUCGAGGAAGGACAUCACCCACAGAAGAAGCACCGGCUAACUCCGUGCCAGCAGCCGCGGUAAUACGGAGGGUGCGAGCGUUAAUCGGAAUUACUGGGCGUAAAGCGCGCGUAGGCGGUCUGAUAAGCCGGUUGUGAAAGCCCCGGGCUCAACCUGGGAACGGCAUCCGGAACUGUCAGGCUAGAGUGCAGGAGAGGAAGGUAGAAUUCCCGGUGUAGCGGUGAAAUGCGUAGAGAUCGGGAGGAAUACCAGUGGCGAAGGCGGCCUUCUGGACUGACACUGACGCUGAGGUGCGAAAGCGUGGGUAGCAAACAGGAUUAGAUACCCUAGUAGUC